Molecule: long non-coding RNA, 775 nt
Organism: Ornithodoros turicata
Lineage: Eukaryota; Metazoa; Arthropoda; Arachnida; Ixodida; Argasidae
Exons: 4
Source: RefSeq, a predicted model, not a curated record
GGCAUGGCGUUUCUGUCCAUGUGCGCGAAGUUCGCUUUUGCACCGAAGUGCUGUGAAAGAAUUACGGUGUGUCACAUCUGUGUUGUAAGAACGUGAUGAACUGUGUGCGGAGCUUUCUAGAACCUCACAAUGCAAUUUGGGUGUAUGUCAAACUGUUACACUUUUCUAGAACGUUGCGCGUCCUCCGUGUCGUCGCACAUAAGCCAGAUUAGGCCGAAGUUUUUUGCCCGUCCUUUUAUGCUUCGGGAGAUCAGAGUGCACGGAAAUCUUUUGCCAGAUUUCCAAACGGAACAGAAUGUGGAAACUAAACUAGCAGAAUGCGCUAACGGACUGCGAAGUACAAGACCUCUAAAGAAAAGUGUGGUGAAGUAAAAAGGUCACCGUCCAUCGUAAUCAUAUUUCACUCAUUGGAUGAUUAUGUUGAACGACAACUGACUCACUUUGGAAACUUCGGAGAAAGUCAACACUACGGAUGGACACAGAGGGCCAACUUCUGUGACACCCACUAUACCACAAGGGCCAGUGUAGCGCGGACAGUACUGGUGGUUGUGCUGUGCAGUGUGGACAGCUGAAACUUUUUUAUGAGGAACAUUGUGCCACAUCACCAUGGCUGGAUACUUUACGUGUGUUUCGUGCUACCUAUACAUCAUGCGAAAUUAACAUGGAAAUCUUACUGAAGAAUGGAAAAGAGCGCAGCAGGGGGUUCUAAAGAAUAGCCACAUGUUCGGCUUUUUGAAAAUGUGGCGCAGCUCUGGUCUGAGGGAUGGAAAUGUCA